CCGGCGGUAUAGGAUGGACCCGCGUCUGAUUAGCUAGUUGGUAAGGUAAUGGCUUACCAAGGCGACGAUCAGUAGCCGACCUGAGAGGGUGAUCGGCCACAUUGGAACUGAGACACGGUCCAAACUCCUACGGGAGGCAGCAGUGGGGAAUAUUACACAAUGGGCGAAAGCCUGAUGCAGCAACGCCGCGUGAGCGAUGAAGGCCUUCGGGUCGUAAAGCUCUGUCCUCAAGGAAGAUAAUGACGGUACUGAGGA
This 255-nucleotide ribosomal RNA is filed under the name uncultured bacterium. RNAcentral's name for it is "partial 16S ribosomal RNA". It matches the Rfam family "Bacterial small subunit ribosomal RNA", at positions 212 to 485 of the family's 1533-position model. The record is from RNAcentral.